This is a small nucleolar RNA of Ornithorhynchus anatinus (platypus), 138 nucleotides long. Lineage: Eukaryota; Metazoa; Chordata; Mammalia; Monotremata; Ornithorhynchidae. The record is from RefSeq and is a predicted model, not a curated record.
CCCCUCUCAGGGUGGCACCUGGAGAGUUUCCAGUCCUCUACCAGUCUCGAUUAUGGGAGGGAGAGCCAAGCGGAGGCCUGUCCGUUCCAUUCCUAGCUUGCGCAGGGGCUAGCGAGUGGAAGGCCAUCAGCUACAAGU